This 69-nucleotide transfer RNA is filed under the name Marmota marmota marmota (Alpine marmot). It matches the Rfam family "tRNA". Rfam says of the family: Transfer RNA (tRNA) molecules are approximately 80 nucleotides in length. Their secondary structure includes four short double-helical elements and three loops (D, anti-codon, and T loops). Further hydrogen bonds mediate the characteristic L-shaped molecular structure. tRNAs have two regions of fundamental functional importance: the anti-codon, which is responsible for specific mRNA codon recognition, and the 3' end, to which the tRNAs corresponding amino acid is attached (by aminoacyl-tRNA synthetases). tRNAs cope with the degeneracy of the genetic code in two manners: having more than one tRNA (with a specific anti-codon) for a particular amino acid; and 'wobble' base-pairing, i.e. permitting non-standard base-pairing at the 3rd anti-codon position. The record is from Rfam by way of RNAcentral. RNAcentral also lists the same sequence under 1 other name. Lineage: Eukaryota; Metazoa; Chordata; Mammalia; Rodentia; Sciuridae.
GGGGCUGUAGCUCAGUGGUAGAGCACUUGCCUAGCACGUGUGAGGCACUGGGUUUGAUCCUCAGCACCA